Molecule: ribosomal RNA, 433 nt
Filed under: uncultured bacterium
Lineage: Bacteria
Description: partial 16S ribosomal RNA
Rfam family: Bacterial small subunit ribosomal RNA
Source: RNAcentral
AACGAACGCUGGCGGCAUGCCUAACACAUGCAAGUCGAACGAUGCCUUCGGGCAUAGUGGCGCACGGGUGCGUAACGCGUGGGAAUCUGCCUUUCGGUUCGGAAUAACUCAGGGAAACUUGAGCUAAUACCGGAUAACGUCGCAAGACCAAAGAUUUAUCACCGAAAGAUGAGCCCGCGUAGGAUUAGCUAGUUGGUGAGGUAAAGGCUCACCAAGGCGACGAUCCUUAGCUGGUCUGGGAGGAUGAUCAGCCACACUGGGACUGAGACACGGCCCAGACUCCUACGGGAGGCAGCAGUGGGGAAUAUUGGACAAUGGGCGAAAGCCUGAUCCAGCAAUGCCGCGUGAGUGAUGAAGGCCUUAGGGUUGUAAAGCUCUUUUACCCGGGAAGAUAAUGACGGUACCGGGAGAAUAAGCCCCGGCUAACUCCGUG